GCGCGGGAAGCUCAUUCGGAUGAGCGGCGGACUGAAAAUCCGGCGGCAGGCGGUUCGAAUCCGCCCCCGCGCACCA
This 76-nucleotide transfer RNA is filed under the name Candidatus Avoscillospira stercorigallinarum. Its description in RNAcentral is "tRNA-Phe". It matches the Rfam family "tRNA". Rfam says of the family: Transfer RNA (tRNA) molecules are approximately 80 nucleotides in length. The record is from RNAcentral. Lineage: Bacteria; Bacillati; Bacillota; Clostridia; Eubacteriales; Oscillospiraceae.